Molecule: non-coding RNA, 83 nt
Organism: Myotis davidii
Lineage: Eukaryota; Metazoa; Chordata; Mammalia; Chiroptera; Vespertilionidae
Source: Rfam
AGGCCCGAAGAGAGAGGCAGGGUCUGAUCCGCAGCCUCCACAUGGCAGCUGUUGAUCAGCCAUUGCCUCUCUCUUUCUCUCCG